Molecule: ribosomal RNA, 1300 nt
Filed under: human gut metagenome
Description: bacterial LSU rRNA
Rfam family: Bacterial large subunit ribosomal RNA
Source: RNAcentral
UCUGAAUGCCGAAUAAAUGUACCCUGGGAGUCAGACGGCGGGUGCUAAGGUCCGUCGUCAAAAGGGUAAGAGCCCAGAUCGACAGCUAAGGCCUCCAAUUCCAUACUCAGUGGUGAAGGUGGUGGAGUUGUUUAGACAGCCAGGACGUUGGCUUAGAAGCAGCCAUCGUUUAAAGAAAGCGUAAUAGCUCACUGGUCUAAUGAUUCUGCGCCGAAAAUGUAACGGGGCUAAGUAUGGAGCCGAAGCUUCGGAUUUGCCUUUAUGGCAUCUGGUAGGGGAGCGUUCUCAACGGGCUGAAGCUGUGGUGAAAACCAUGGUGGACUGUUGAGAAGUGAUUAUGCUGACAUGAGUAACGAUAAAACAGGUGAAAAACCUGUUCGCCGAAAACCCAAGGUUUCCUGGGUAAAGUUAAUCUUCCCAGGGUUAGUCGGUCCCUAAGGAGAGGGCGAAAGCCGUAUCUGAUGGAAAACGGGUUAAUAUUCCCGUACUUGCAUGGAUGUGCGAUGGAGGGACGCAGCAAGAUAGGUGAUCCGGGUGUUGGAUAUCCCGGUGCAAGUGUGUAGGAGUGCGAAGCAGGCAAAUCCGUUUCGCUUAUCCGAGACACGAGUCCGAGCCGCAAGGCGGAAGUCAUUGAGUCUACACUGCCAAGAAAAGCUUCUAAGUUUAGUCCAUGUGAACCGUACUCGAAACCAACUCAGGUGGGUGGGAUGAAUAAUCCAAGGCGCUCGAGAGAAUUCUGGCUAAGGAACUCGGCAAAAUGACCCCGUAACUUCGGAAGAAGGGGUGCUCCUCUGUGUGAGUUUAUUUACUAUGCAAGCAUGAGGGAGCCGCAGUGAAUUGGUGGUGGCGACUGUUUACUAAAAACAUAGGUCUGUGCGAAGUCGCAAGACGACGUAUACGGACUGACGCCUGCCCGGUGCCGGAAGGUUAAAAGGAGAGGUCAGCGCAAGCGAAGCCUUGAAUUGAAGCCCCGGUAAACGGCGGCCGUAACUAUAACGGUCCUAAGGUAGCGAAAUUCCUUGUCGGGUAAGUUCCGACCUGCACGAAUGGCGUAACGAUCUCCACACUGUCUCGGCCAGAGACUCGGUGAAAUUGAAGUCGCGGUGAAAAUGCCGUGUACCCGCAGAAAGACGGAAAGACCCUGUGCACCUUUACUAUAGCUUGACAUUGGAUUUUGGCCCUACAUGUGUAGGAUAGGUGGGAGCCUGUGAACUCUGUACGCCAGUAUGGGGGGAGGCACUGUUGAAAUACCACCCUUUGUAUGUCUAAGAUCUAACUCCACGCAGUUAUCCUGCUGGAA